AGCCGGAUAAUCGCGCUUUUACCCAAAAGUGAGGAAAGUCCGUGCAUCCAAGGACAGAUCGCCGGAGAAACUCCGGACGGCGUGAGCCGGUGGAUAGUGCCACAGAAAUGCAGACUGCCGAUGGAUUUAUUCAAUCACAGGUGAUGGUGCAACGGUGAGUUAAGAGCUUCACCAGCGGUAUUGAGAAAUACCGGCUAGGUAAACCCCGAUAGGAUGCAAGAUUAAAAAGAAGGCUAAAGGUUGUCCGCCCACUUCUGAAAAAUCGCUAGCAGUUGUAAGUAAUUACAACUCCAGACAGAUGAUUAUCUAGAAACAGAACACGGCUUAUGAGCUGCUUUU
Molecule: RNase P RNA, 339 nt
Filed under: chicken gut metagenome
Description: Bacterial RNase P class A
Rfam family: Bacterial RNase P class A
About the family: Ribonuclease P (RNase P) is a ubiquitous endoribonuclease, found in archaea, bacteria and eukarya as well as chloroplasts and mitochondria. Its best characterised activity is the generation of mature 5'-ends of tRNAs by cleaving the 5'-leader elements of precursor-tRNAs.
Source: RNAcentral